GAGUCUGCCUUGAAGAUCGGAGUGCUUGCACUCUGUGAAACAAGAUACAGGCUAGCGGCGGACGGGUGAGUAACACGUGGGUAACCUGCCCAAGAGAUCGGGAUAACACCUGGAAACAGAUGCUAAUACCGGAUAACAACAGAUGAUGCCUAUCAACUGUUUAAAAGAUGGUUCUGCUAUCACUCUUGGAUGGACCUGCGGUGCAUUAGCUAGUUGGUAGGGUAACGGCCUACCAAGGCGAUGAUGCAUAGCCGAGUUGAGAGACUGAUCGGCCACAUUGGGACUGAGACACGGCCCAAACUCCUACGGGAGGCAGCAGUAGGGAAUCUUCCACAAUGGACGCAAGUCUGAUGGAGCAACGCCGCGUGAGUGAAGAAGGGUUUCGGCUCGUAAAGCUCUGUUGUUGGUGAAGAAGGACGGGGGUAGUAACUGACCUUUGUUUGACGGUAAUCAAUUAGAAAGUCACGGCUAACUACGUGCCAGCAGCCGCGGUAAUACGUAGGUGGCAAGCGUUGUCCGGAUUUAUUGGGCGUAAAGCGAGUGCAGGCGGUUCGAUAAGUCUGAUGUGAAAGCCUUCGGCUCAACCGGAGAAUUGCAUCAGAAACUGUCGAGCUUGAGUACAGAAGAGGNNNNUGGAACUCCAUGUGUAGCGGUG
This 655-nucleotide ribosomal RNA is filed under the name uncultured bacterium. RNAcentral's name for it is "bacterial SSU rRNA". It matches the Rfam family "Bacterial small subunit ribosomal RNA", at positions 59 to 683 of the family's 1533-position model. The record is from RNAcentral.